Non-coding RNA from Ictidomys tridecemlineatus (thirteen-lined ground squirrel), 8351 nucleotides. The record is from RefSeq and is a predicted model, not a curated record. Lineage: Eukaryota; Metazoa; Chordata; Mammalia; Rodentia; Sciuridae.
AGACGUCCCGGCGGCGGCUCCUUUUCAGACCUAAGGGUCAUUUUUAAAUCAGAACCUUUCCGUUGCUAUUUACACUUACACACCGUCCAGACUUGCAGCGUGUGGAGCCGCUGCCCUGGGGGGAGAAAUCACGGCACUCACUCCAUCGGGCUGCUCACGAGUCCUGCGCACACGCUGCGGAGUGUUUGGGUCUCUCAAAAUUACCAAUCAAAACCAGGGCGUUCAUCGAUGCCAUAAGAGGAAAAGUGAGGUUUGAAAAGCCCUAGGAGACGAGGCUAACACGUUUCCCUCCACGCUGAACAGAUUUGUCAGUGAAAGUGAAGAGUAGAACACCAAAACCAAAGCCGCCACCUCAUGCACUGUGCUUCUCUCUACCCUGGAAGAAUUUUCUAGGAAUAUACAUCACAUAUGUAGUUGACAUCUGAAUUUUCUUGCCGUCAUUUUAAAUAUUUGGAAAGGAUAUAAUUUCCAACAUUCUGAUAACAGCAUUUUAAAAUUCAGGUUAUACCUUUUUAAAAAAAUACCCAAUGGAAUCUUAAUUAUAGUAGAGAUAUGAUACCCAUUCUCCAUCUUAAGAAAUUUAUGAAAAAACUCUUCUUUCAAAGGCAAACAUCAUUUUCUCCUUUAAGUCAUUCCUAUUCUAUUCAUCCCACAGAACUGUAUGCUAACGUAUCUUUAUGCUUUAAAGCCUUAAUGAUCACAGCAUCUUUUUUUGCAAGACACCCAUACAUAUGUAAUCACAAAACAAAUACUCAUGGCACAUUCUCAGGCAUUUAUGGACAAGUGCAGAGCAGUAAGAAACUCUAAUCAAUUUGUGUGCAUGUCCCAGUGGGACUUGAAGAAGGCCAUGCUCUGCUUUCUUGUUUGUUCUCUAUAAACAAUAUCAUUUACACUAUAAACAAUAUCCUUUACUCAGUCUAGGAAACGUUUUUUGAUUUUUGUACCUUCAUUUGGUGAUUUUACUGUUUUAAAUGGCCUCCAAGAGUAGUGCUAAAGUGCUGCCUAGCAUUCCUAAGCCUAAGAAAGUUGUGAUGCGGCUUACAGAAAAAAUUUGUGUGCUAAGUAAGCUCCGUUCUGGCAUGAGUUAUAGUGCUGUUGGCCGUGAGUUCAUUAUUAAUGAGUCAACAAUAUGAUACAUCCAGAAAAAGGAAGAAGAUAUUCGCAGGUCUGUGAGUGAGGCUGCUCCAGAGAGCGCUAAAGUAACAUCUGUAGUACAUGAGGAAGCCAUGGAAAAGAUGGAAAAGCAGCUAAAUUUGUGGAUUCAUGAGAUGAUGAUCAAAUAAAAAAAAGUAUAGUGGGAAGCAUUGUUGUGAGGCUGAAAGCCAAAGAAAUUUACAGUCACGUAACCCAGGGUCAGGAACAUGUUAAACCCUUCUCAGCUAGUGGAGGCUGGCUUCCAUGUUUCAAAAGACGAUACAGCAUGAAAAACUUUAAACUUGCAGUCCAGGAUGGUUCUGCACACCAGGAAGCUGCAGAAGAACUUAAAAAGUACCAUUGAGUGUUAUACAUGAAAAGGGUUAUGUUGAAGAGCACGUUUUCAAUGCCGAUGAGGUUGGCUUUUUACAAGAAUGUUGGCAAAGGAACUUGAUGAACGUGAUGCAGAAAGCUUCCCAGGAUCCUGAUUCUAAAAUACUCAAAGAUCAUACAACCUUGCUGCUAUGCAUCAAUGCUAAGGGCGACUUUAAAUGCAAGCACCUAAUGGUGCACUUAAAGGGAAGAACUUGAACUGUAUGCCAGUCCACUGGAGAUGGAACCAAAAAGCAUGCAUGGCAUCUGAAAUAUUCCACAAUUGCUUUGUCCCAGAAGUAGAAUGCUGUCUCCAGAGCAAAAAACUUUGCCUUUAGGGUUUUAUUAAUUUUGGAUAAUGCCCCAGUUCAUUGCCAUGAAGAACUAGAAAAUACCCACCCCAAUGUGGAAGUUCUUUUCAUGCCCCCAAAUACUACAUCUCUCAUCUAGCCCCUCAAUCAAGGCAUAAUAAAAGCUUUCAAAGCACAGUACAUGAGAGAGCUGUACAGUAAAGCUUGUGAGACACUUGCUGCCAACCAAGAAGCCACUAUGUUAAAUUACUGGAAAUCAGUGACUAUCCACAAUGUUAUUGAUUAUGUUGGCACAGCUGGGGAUAACAUCAAACAGACUGUUAUCAAUAACUGCUGGGAAACUGUUUGGCCAAAUUGUGUGAAAACUGUUGAAGGCUUUGAAGGUGUUACAGGAAAUAUAAAAAACAUGUCAAAAACAUAAUGCGUACUACACAACAAAUAAGUGGAGAGGGUUUCAAUGACAUGAGGGAAGAAGAUGUGGAGGAAAUUUUGGCAGAGAAGGCAGUAGAACCCACCAACAAAGAUCUGGAUGAGAUGGCAAAAGAUGGUAUCAGAAUCAGUGAUGAAAGUCAAGACAGUGAUGACAGUCAGCCCAUGACUCCAAGAAUUAUUCCUCUUACAGCAGCCAAAAUAUCAGUGGAAUUCUGCCCUGGAAAAACUUUUCAGUGACAUGGAAGAAUGUGACCCUAUGCUUGAAUGCAGUCUCACAUUUAAGCGCCUCACCUCCACUGCAUUUGUCCCUUAUUCAGAAAUGCUUAAAAGAUUUGAGGAGAAAAGCCAGGCAAACAAAGCUGAAGCAGUUUUUCUAGCCAAUUUUAGGGGGAAAGAUGCAAAAUAUAGAACUGCUGGAUCACAACAUACCAUCUCCUUGAUGUUUCCUCUCUCCACAGUAAGUUCCACCAGUCCACCAUUUGGUCUUCACAGGCAAGCCAAGGUCUUCAGGUUAAACCACACCUCCUGCAGUUCCAUCUACAGACAUGCUGUGAAGUGGCGUGAAACACAGGUGAAAGGAGCCCACUUGGCCAUCCAUCCACUGGACAUGUCUUCCAAAUCCAUUGGAAAAGAAAUGAAGCAUCAAGCAGAAAAUUAAGAUUUGGUUGCUAAAUAUCAGAUAAGUAAACUACCUCUCAAAAGUAUACAGCCUACUACCCAGUAGUUUGCUGAAAGACAAUUAAACUUUUAAUAAUGUGCACUUUCUUUUGCUUGCUUUCUUCAACAUACCCCAAAACCCAGCUCCUAUAUGGAGUGCUAGUCACAUAGGGAGAAACAAAAUUUUUUCCACUAGUUUGAAACUGGCCAGAUUUACAAAUAUGUAGAGUCAGAUAUGCCAGAGACGUGACACAUGGAGGAGAUGACCAAGGCUGCAUUGCUUAAAUUAACUCCUAUCCCCUGAGGCUUGGUUCCCACAGACUCCAAAAGCAUGUGAAGUCCUUCAGAGCUGGUGGCAACUUUCCCAAAUUCAUGCCAAUGCCAAAAAUGGAUAAGAAAAUGUUUAAGGAUAAAGCACCCAUCACAUAACCUAGAAUAAAUCUGUCCACAAGCUGCAUGUUUUCCCAAUAAUACUAGAUAAACACAGGAAGUUGCACAUUAGCUGGCAAGUGAAAGCCACCUGGAAAGGACAGAGGUGCUGCCAUGGCUGGAGGUCAGCCCCUUGGGGAUGCCAACAUUGGGCAGUAGCUCAGCCGGCAGAAGGCAUGGCAGAAGCUGGCUGUGCUCCCUCAGUGGAAGACCCCGACUCAGGAAACAAAGAACAGUAGAAAUUCAUAAGAACUCAGACUAAGUCUUGUGGCCAGAGAUUUUCUUCAAAGUUCUACCUGUUCAUCAUAGCCCAGUCACCCUCCUAUGCCAGACAUACUUGUAACUUAACGAAAACAGCCCAGGGGUUACAGCACAGCAUUUUGUGAAUCUGAGCCACUCAUUCCUUGCUUCCUGGGCUCCAUUCUACUUGGCUUCUGAUCCCAUCUCAGAAUAGCUGAUGGUUCCAUUUUUAAAGACCCACUGUUGAAGACUACGUGGAGAAGGCCUGUGGCCUUCGAUGGAAAAGGGGGUCCUUGCCGUGUGUGCUGGUGGCAACAGUGUGAGCACAUGCAUCCCUGCUGACCAGGCAUACCUCACACAAAUGCUGUCUGCUAAUAACCACCACCCAACACCCUGGGACAAGGGAACAUCCCUCCUCCAGCAGCCCCUGAUGGCAUUCCACAUUUAAAUUUCGUUCUCAGAUGUGUCAGGACUGCUGAUGGCUGCCCUGCCAUUUCCCAUUUGGUUUGACUGCUACUCAGAUUCACUUCUGAGAACUCUCCCACACACCCCUGCACACACAGUGACACCAUCUGUGACUGGGCACUCCAGGCAGUAGCCUUUGUUCCAAUCCUUCCCAGCUGAAGAACCUGUCUGUGCUUUUUAAACUGCUCAAGAAGCUGCAUUUAUGGCAAGGAGAAGCCUCAGAGCCAUAUUACAGAAGAUGGGACAUGACCACUUGGGAAGAGUUCCAUUUUGGUCCAUGUUUGAGAGGUUAUUGAAGGAGUGCAGAGAGCACUGGCACAUUGUGCAGAGGAGCCAGUGAAGCAAAAGGGAGGCCUUCACUCGGGAAGAAACAACUAAGGGGUUGGGAACAGCAGAGAACACCAGGGCUAAGCACAUCUCUAUAAAUAGCAGGUAAGCCUUGCCCUAGCAAGGAUAGCCAAGAGCCAGGAGGAGGGUGAGGAACAGCACUAGCCCAGGGUGCUUGCAGGAGGUUAAGGAAAAAAAAAAACUGCAGCAAAAAAUUCAGAGCCAAUGGGACUUUCAUAUUAUCAAUAAGUGGCCAAAAGCUGAUGGGAAACCUCAUUGCCACCCAACACUCAAGUUAUUGGCAGAAUGUGACCUGAGUAAAUAGAGCACAGUUAUCAAUAAGAUGUGCAGCAGUCAUACUUGAGGAAAUAAAAUUUUUAAAAACCACUUAAGACAAACUGACCUUCAUUAGUUGGAGAUAAGGCUGCCAGUAUAUACACAAGAAGUCUGUUCAUAUUACUAUAACUGAGGUAUCUCACUGCUUAUUUAUACAUCAAACCAGAAGUUACAUCACUUCUCUGCCCAAAACCCUUAAAAGUUCCACUCUUUUUCAUGCAGGGAAAAAGCCAAUUCCUAUGAGAGAAUGAGAAGACAAACCACAGACUGGUAAAAGAAGGAUCUGCAAAACACACAGCCAAAGACUUGUAUCCUAAAUAUACAAAGAAUUCUUAAAAAUUAACAAUAAGGAAAAAAAUUAAUGGGCAAAAGAAGCCAGGCUUGGCAAUACACACCUGUAAUGCCAGCAACUUGGGAGGCUGAGUCAGGAGAAUCACAAGUUCAAGGCCAGCCUCAACAUGUAGCAAGAUGCUGUCUCAAAAAAUAAAAAGAUUUGGGGGUGUGGUUUUGUGGUAGAGCAGUCCUGGAUUCAAUCCCCAGUACCACCAAAAAAAAAAAAAGGGUCAAAAGACCUGAAGAGACAACAAAGAAGAUUCCUAGAUGCCAAGUGUGUUAGUCAGCUUUCUGUUACUGGAACAAAUACCUGAAGUAAAUCAGUUUAUAAAGAGGAAGGAUUUACUUUGGCUCAUGGUCAUUUGGCUCUUACUACUUUGGGGCCUGUGGCAAGGCAGGACCAUGUGACAGAAGGGGCCAGGAUCAAAAUAACCCCUUCAAGGACAUGCCCCAGUGAUUCGACUUCCUCCCACUAGGACCCCACCUAUUAAAAGGUUAUACCAUCUCCCAGUAGCACCAUAGGCUGAGACCAAGCCUUCAACACAUGGGCCUUUGAGAGACACUUUCCCAAACCAUAGCACAAGUAAACAUGUGAAAAGAUGCUCCCUAUUAUACAUCACCAGGGAGAUGAAGAUUAAAGUACAGUGUCACUACACACAGAUUUAAAUGAACAGAAUCCAGAACACCGACAACACCAAAUGCUGGUGAGGAUGUGGAGCAACAAGAAUUCACAUUCAUGCCCGCAGAAAUACGAAAUGGUACAGCCACGUUGGAAAGCAAUUGGUGGUUUCUUAUAAGCUAAACGUAGUCUUAUCAUACAAGCCUACAAUUGUGCCCCUUGGUAUUUACCCAAAUGAGUUUUUUUUAAACAUUCUUCUAGUUGUUGAUAGAUCUUUAUUUUAUUUAUUUAUAUGCGGUGCUGAGAAUAGAACUCAGUGCCUCACACAUGCCAGGCAAGUGCACUACUGCUGAGCCACAGCCACAGCCCCCCAAAUGAGUUUUUUAAGAACUUAGGUCCACACAAAAUCUGUAAGCAGAUGUCUUUAUCAGCUUUACUCAUAAUCUCUAAUACUUGGAAUUUACCAGGACAUGAAUGGAUAAACAAAUAAUGGUAUAUCAAACAACAUGUUAUUCAGUGAUUUAAAAAAAAGUUCACCAUCAAACUGAAAAGAUGGAGGAAGCUUAAAUGUAUAUUGAAAGAAGCCAGUGGGAAAAACUAUAUGAUUUCAAAUAUAUAACAUUCUGGAAAAGACAAAGCUGUGGAGACAGAUCAGUAGUUGUCUAGGGCUGAAGGGAGGGAGCGUAAGGGGGCGGAGGAUUUUAGGGCAGUGACACUGUGCUAUACAAUACUAUAAGGUGGAUAUGUCAUUGUACAUUUAUCAGGACCCAAGCAAUGUACAAGAUGAACUAUCAUAGGAACCGUGGGCUUCAGUUCAUUGCUGUGAUCUGAGCGUCCACUCCAAUGCUCAUGUUGAAAAUGCACUGCCGCUGUUGGGAGGCAGGACUGUUAAGCAGGUGGAAGCUCCUUCACAGAUGACCGAAGACUGGCCUAGGUGAGGUGAGCAGGACCUCACUCCCCAAGUACCCCGGAAGCUUGAAGGCCACGAGCAGAGCCAUGCUUGCUGCUGCCCCUCAAGAGCCAGCCUGGAGAGCUGCACAGCAUGGCCAUGGGAUGUGCUUGUCAGGGUGCCCUGAAGGAACCGUGGAUGACAAAGCUGGAAGUCUCCUGCCCCUUAACAAUGUGGCCUCUGUGGUGCUUUCUGGAAGCUUAACCUUCGACACAAGUCUGUAAACAAUUCAACCACACGCUAUUAAUAGAGCCUGUUUUCAAAAGAAACAAAAAUACAUUUAAAAUAGGAAUAAAUGUAACCACAAAAUUCAUUUCCGCUAGGAGAAAUCAGCUACCAGCACUAGUGUGUCGUGGGAUUAGUUAUAUAAUCACAGAUCUUAAAUAAGGUGAUUUCUUCAGCACACAGAAAAGCCAGAGAGAAAUUGCUCAAGAAAACUCUGGGAAGGCUGGAGGGAAGCUGGCUGCUCAGGCAGCCUCCGGUUCCUCCUGAAGAGCCCACAACAGAGGCAGUCAGAGCCAGAAACAUUCUCCAGAAACUCCUAAUUUUCUGUCAAAAUCACUAUAACGUUCUCCCUUAAAUUGAGUGUUAAAGUCAUAAAUCUUUUGGCAUGUGUUCAGAAAACAAUUGACUUUUUCAGAAAAUCUGUCUUUCUAACCAAAAACUUCUGAAACUUUGCUAGCUAUAAAUGGAAACUUAAUGCCACUUAUGAACUUGAACUCUGUCAAGGACAGGAAACUGGUGGAACGUCCCUGGCACAGGGACUUAGUGGUGAGACCCUUGGAACUGAGGGAAAAGAGCCAUCGUGGUCCUCAGUAUUUACAAAUCAGCUAAAACUAGGCCCUUUUAAAAAAGGCGUGUACAAAAUAGAAGACGUCCUGUCAGAACCAGACUUCGUCACAAGAAGCUAUGCAAAAUCAAGACCAACUUGGGACUGUGGACUCCCACUUUAGACUUAAGCCAUUCAGUGUGAACUGGAAGUCCCAGCUGCGUUUACAUGUGCUCUUCUCAGGAUCUGAAGUAACAUACAGCUUCUUCAGAACCAAGAGGGGAAUGUCAUCAGCCCCUUAGGAAGAAAAGUGCUCCGAGUGUGAUAAUAAAGCUCCGUGUACCACACCAAGCAGCAAACAGCAAGGAGAGCCGGCCGUAGAUGACCUACCCUGUGGGACCGCAGGAUCAUCUCACGGCUCUGGGAGGAUUCCUCCAAGACACCAGGAGAAGGAACAGCAGCAGCCCCUUCAGCAGCACCAGCCGCCACUUGAGGUCAGGACGCAGAGGCCUGGGCCACCCACCCAGCCCUCCUGGCCACCUGCAGCUAUCCAGGCAGGAGUCUGAGACUUAUUCUAGGGGGAAAAGUGAACCAAGGAGGCCCAAGACUUGGGAGAGGGCGUGGAGGAAGGCCACGGCAAGGCGGGUCUCCCUGAGGGCCUGCAGUCCUUGCCAGGGGCCUCAGAGGUGACCACCCCACAGGCACAAGCCUCCCAGCCCUGCCAGUGGGCAUGUGGCUUGCUCUUCAGCCAUCACCAAUGAUCUAAGCAGUCCCCAAUGUGGAAGCCAAAUUCCAAGAGACAGCCAGGCAGACCUCGAUGCACACCUGGGACGAGCUCCAAGGUGGUUCCAGAAUUGGCAGGGAGACCAGCCAGGGCUGCGGCUCAGGGGCAGAGCAUUCCUAGCCCAGGGAGGCCCUGGGUUUGAUCCUCAGCCCACAUAAAGACCAACAAAAUAAAGGUACUGUGUCCAUCUAUAA